Molecule: long non-coding RNA, 221 nt
Filed under: Vitis vinifera (wine grape)
Lineage: Eukaryota; Viridiplantae; Streptophyta; Magnoliopsida; Vitales; Vitaceae
Description: long non-coding RNA (VVIN_LNC005312)
Source: RNAcentral
CAUUGCCUCCAUUGCCUCCAUAUUAGACAUCAUAUCGUUUUUAUAUCUUCACUAAAACUAGCCUUUUAUGUGCAUCUUGAUCAUCGAGACGGUCUUGUUGUCAUCACACCAAUCUUUCAUACUUCUAGCUUAUCAGUAAUGACAUAGUCAUGCUCAAUUGUAAGUUUCUCACUUUCUCUCUCUCAAAAAGGAUAUUUUGUAUAAUUUCUAUUAGUUUUUUU